Molecule: ribosomal RNA, 489 nt
Filed under: Sternopriscus mundanus
Lineage: Eukaryota; Metazoa; Arthropoda; Insecta; Coleoptera; Dytiscidae
Description: partial 16S ribosomal RNA
Rfam family: Bacterial large subunit ribosomal RNA
Source: RNAcentral
UUUAAGGUCUAAUCUGCCCACUGAAAAUUUUAAUGGCCGCAGUAAUUUGACUGUGCAAAGGUAGCAUAAUCAUUAGUUUUUUAAUUGAAAGCUUGUAUGAAUGAUUGGACGAGAUAAAUUCUGUCUUUAGAUAAUAAAUAGAAUUUAAUUUUUGAGUUAAAAAGCUUAAAUUUAAAUAAAAGACGAGAAGACCCUAUAGAUCUUUAUUAAAUUUAAAUUAUUAUUAUUUAAGAUUAUUUUAUUUAUUAAUUUUGGUUUAAUUUUAUUGGGGUAAUAAGAAGAUUAAAAAAAUUCUUUUAUAUUGUUACAAAAAUUAUUGAUUUUAAGAUCCUAAAAUUUAGAUUAUAAGAUUAAGUUACCUUAGGGAUAACAGCGUAAUUUCUUUAGAGAGUUCAUAUUGAUAAAGAUGUUUGCGACCUCGAUGUUGGAUUAAAAGUUAUUUUAGGUGCAGUAGUUUAAAAUUUUGGUCUGUUCGACCAUUAAACUUUU